AAUCCCAUAACCUACUGUGCCCCUUUGGUUUGCGUAGUAUGAUGGGCAACUAUCUCCUGAUAACCAUUUCGUUUUCGGUUUUCAGUAUUUGUUCACUUCUUAUUGUUUUGAGAACUGAAAGCUAAAAACUAACUGAAAUGGUUAUCAAACGGGCUCUAAGUUUACAAUAAAAGUUUCCGAAUCAUAAUCAUAAGAAAGAUAACCCUUGAAAGAUAAACUUGGUAUUUUAUGUUGCGAGAAGUGCUAGGAUCUUAAUUAACUGAAAAAGAAAAACCAUAACAUAGAAGUUCUAAGUCAUUUUGGAAUGCUUUGGAAGUGAACAAAUUCAGAAAACAAUUUUAGAAACCAAGCUCGAGCCUGGCCUGGCCGGGACUGGACUGGACUGGACUGGACUGGAUGUGAUAAAUCGUCCAGAACAUUGUGACGAGGAGAGGAUCUUUGGGUUGAUCUUCCCUUCUUUGCUCAGAAGUCUUAUACCAGCUAAGAACGUACUUGCUUUGACGCUCCUCACAAUGAUGAUGCUUUUUCUGUUUUAUUCAUUAAUCAAUGUUGUACCCUGUAACCUGUUCCACAUGUAAUGUAUAUUUGUUGUCAUAAGCAACAACUUUCACAUCCUUUUUAUACUUAAUCUUGGCUACUCCUCCGUAACUGUUUAGAGGAUUUAUUAGGAUCUCUCCUUCCAUUGUCAAUGCUGUUCUGUCAAGGACUCGAAGGAAAUUUGUUGUUUAUUUCAUUAACCUUUCAGACCCUGCGUAAAGCGGGAGCCUUGUGCACUGGGUACGAUCUUUUUUUAUUUCAUUAACCUUUCACUGUACGUGUAGCUUGUCAUCUGCUGUUAUUAUUUU
RNAcentral lists this long non-coding RNA (845 nucleotides) under Malus domestica (apple). Its description in RNAcentral is "long non-coding RNA (MDOM_LNC000678)". The record is from RNAcentral. Lineage: Eukaryota; Viridiplantae; Streptophyta; Magnoliopsida; Rosales; Rosaceae.